UCCUGGUAGCUCAGUGGUAAAGGAUCUGCCUGCCAUGCAGGAGACCCAGGUUCAAUCCCUGGGUCAGGAA
RNAcentral lists this transfer RNA (70 nucleotides) under Bos taurus (domestic cattle). It matches the Rfam family "tRNA". Rfam says of the family: Transfer RNA (tRNA) molecules are approximately 80 nucleotides in length. Lineage: Eukaryota; Metazoa; Chordata; Mammalia; Artiodactyla; Bovidae. The record is from Rfam by way of RNAcentral. RNAcentral also lists the same sequence under 3 other names.